RNAcentral lists this ribosomal RNA (484 nucleotides) under uncultured bacterium. RNAcentral describes it as "partial 16S ribosomal RNA". It matches the Rfam family "Bacterial small subunit ribosomal RNA", at positions 30 to 507 of the family's 1533-position model. The record is from RNAcentral.
AUUGAACGCUGGCGGCAGGCCUAACACAUGCAAGUCGAGCGGAUGACGGGAGCUUGCUCCUUGAUUCAGCGGCGGACGGGUGGGUAAUGCCUAGGAAUCUGCCUGGUAGUGGGGGACAAUGUUUCGAAAGGAACGCUAAUACCGCAUACGUCCUACGGGAGAAAGCAGGGGACCUUCGGGCCUUGCGCUAUCAGAUGAGCCUAGGUCGGAUUAGCUUGUUGGUGAGGUAAUGGCUCACCAAGGCGACGAUCCGUAACUGGUCUGAGAGGAUGAUCAGUCACACUGGAACUGAGACACGGUCCAGACUCCUACGGGAGGCAGCAGUGGGGAAUAUUGGACAAUGGGCGAAAGCCUGAUCCAGCCAUGCCGCGUGUGUGAAGAAGGUCUUCGGAUUGUAAAGCACUUUAAGUUGGGAGGAAGGGUUGUAGAUUAAUACUCUGCAAUUUUGACGUUACCGACAGAAUAAGCACCGGCUAACUCUGUG